UCUUGUACUCCUUAUUAUGGCACGAGUCUGAAGUAUAAUUGCCACAUUACAUCGUUUUCCCUUUCUCCCCUUUUGGCGAUUUUGGGUUUUCUCGUCUCGUGGGAAAUGGCCGAUUCUCCUCGCAAAAGCACUAUGGCGGGAGUCGUGAAUAAGUUCUUUAUCACAUCUUUGAUUAUGUGGGCAGCUCCCGUUGCAAUUUUGUACGCCUUUAACCACAACUUAAUUC
Molecule: long non-coding RNA, 226 nt
Organism: Nicotiana attenuata
Lineage: Eukaryota; Viridiplantae; Streptophyta; Magnoliopsida; Solanales; Solanaceae
Exons: 3
Source: RefSeq, a predicted model, not a curated record